RNAcentral lists this ribosomal RNA (510 nucleotides) under uncultured Rikenellaceae bacterium. RNAcentral describes it as "bacterial SSU rRNA". It matches the Rfam family "Bacterial small subunit ribosomal RNA", at positions 903 to 1382 of the family's 1533-position model. Lineage: Bacteria; Pseudomonadati; Bacteroidota; Bacteroidia; Bacteroidales; Rikenellaceae. The record is from RNAcentral.
UGCGCCUUGCCACGCCCGCUCAGAAACUUAAAGGAAUUAGACGGGGGCCCGGCACAAGCGGAGGAACAUGUGGUUUAAUUCGAUGAUACGCGAGGAACCUUACCUGGGCUAGAACGCAUUCGGAAUCAGGCCGAAAGGCCUGCGCCAGCGAUGGCCGCUUGCGAGGUGCUGCAUGGUUGUCGUCAGCUCGUGCCGUGAGGUGUCGGGUUAAGUCCCAUAACGAGCGCAACCCCUACUGCUAGUUGCCAGCGGGUCAUGCCGGGGACUCUAGCGGAACUGCCAGCGUAAGCUGCGAGGAAGGUGGGGAUGACGUCAAAUCAGCACGGCCCUUACGUCCAGGGCUACACACGUGUUACAAUGGCCGGUACAGAGGGCAGCCACCCCGCGAGGGGGCGCGAAUCCCGAAAGCCGGUCCCAGUUCGGAUCGGAGUCUGCAACCCGACUCCGUGAAGCUGGAUUCGCUAGUAAUCGCGCAUCAGCCACGGCGCGGUGAAUACGUUCCCGGGCCUU